RNAcentral lists this small nucleolar RNA (101 nucleotides) under Neogobius melanostomus (round goby). RNAcentral's name for it is "Small nucleolar RNA SNORD67 (ENSNMLG00000000324.1)". It matches the Rfam family "Small nucleolar RNA SNORD67". From Rfam's summary of the family: snoRNA HBII-166 belongs to the C/D family of snoRNAs. The record is from Rfam by way of RNAcentral. Lineage: Eukaryota; Metazoa; Chordata; Actinopteri; Gobiiformes; Gobiidae.
CGUGAGGGUGAUGAGUUGCACUGUGUGAGGUCAGUGUGUGACGCUGACCUCGCUCUGACCUCCUGAAGAGCGCUCGUGUGCACAGGGCCAUCUGACUCACU